AUGGGUUCCGACGUUCUCUCUUGCGAGACCGCCCUAGCAACUGUGCGUCACUACGUUAGUGACAAUAUGGACGGCCUCCUUCCCACCGACGUGGUCCAGCUGGACUACAGCAGCGCUUUUGACACGCUGGACCACGACUGCCUUAGUAAAAAGUUGUCAAAUUGCGGGCUUCCUCGGGUGUCCCUCAAGAGUCCGUCCUUGGCCCAACUCUUCAAUGUGAAUGUUCGUGACAUUCCGCAGUCCGACAGGCUCCUCACCAUCCAAUACGCCGACGACACUACUUUGGCGAUGUGCAUACGCUCCCCCGAUGAUCUUGCCGCCAUGCUAGCUCACCUGGACAAUCUGGUUGUCUGGUUUGCCACUAACCAUCUCUGUGUCAGCCACGACAAGUGUGCCGUGAUGCAAUUCAGUUCGGCCAGGUAGGUCCAGACGCCACACUACACGCUUGGAGGGCUCCUUCUCCCACCUGUACAGGAGCUCAACAUCUUGGGUGUAUCAUUCACAGCCUCACUCGAUUUCAGCUGCCAUGUGGCUAAGGUGGUGAGCAGGUCUCGCAGGGUACUGGGAUUAGAGUCUCGAUUUUCACGGCGUUUUGGACGGGAGACCCUGAAAACACUGUACAUGGCUCUGGUACUUCCUCGACUGGAGUACUGUUCUUCAAUAUGGAGCCCUCAUCAGAUAAACCUCACUGAGCGCCUAGAAAGUGUGCAGCGCCGCGCGACUCAAACCUUGGCCUGCCACGACCAUUCCUCCGACUACAAUGAACGCCCGCGGUCUCUUGGCUGGCGCCGCCUGAGCCACCGCCGAACAGUGGCACAUGUCCGACUUAGGUCCGACUCGUUGCUGUUGCCGCUGGCCGGCUCCUACCUGGCAUCAGUUUCCUUGUACCUCUAGCCGGACAGGCUGUCCUAUCCCUCUCCGCGCCCGCACCCACCGACACGAAGCUUCAUUGUUCCCUGCCGCGGCGAGCUCAAACCCGUCCUUACCCCGAGCGCACGCGCCCGCCCCUAACGGGGACUGGGAACGAAUUCUGCGACUUCAGCAGGACUGUGUCGAGUGCCCUCCGAGCCCAAUAA
Molecule: RNA transcript, 1076 nt
Organism: Ixodes scapularis (black-legged tick)
Lineage: Eukaryota; Metazoa; Arthropoda; Arachnida; Ixodida; Ixodidae
Exons: 3
Source: RefSeq, a predicted model, not a curated record